GAAACCACACGUGAUAGACACUAGUUUCUUUGGUACGGCAUAGACCAUAGAUUAGAUUUGAACCAAAGUUCAAAUUGAUCUGCGUUUAACAGUCAAACCGCAACUUGACCGCAACUACCCUCUCUAUUCAACAAAACAUUUCAAGGGUAGUUUAGUAACAUUAUAAUACUAGAAAGUUCUUAAGUAGGUGAAGAGUUACCCCACGAGGUGCUAUCGCAAUUGCAAUUCUGAAUCUGAAAGCAGAAAGAUCCCCCCACCUUUGGUAUCACGAUCUUCUUCCUCAUCAACAUUCUGAUUAUUUCG
Molecule: long non-coding RNA, 303 nt
Filed under: Brassica rapa (field mustard)
Lineage: Eukaryota; Viridiplantae; Streptophyta; Magnoliopsida; Brassicales; Brassicaceae
Description: long non-coding RNA (BRAP_LNC007778)
Source: RNAcentral